RNAcentral lists this ribosomal RNA (497 nucleotides) under uncultured bacterium. RNAcentral's name for it is "partial 16S ribosomal RNA". It matches the Rfam family "Bacterial small subunit ribosomal RNA", at positions 28 to 507 of the family's 1533-position model. The record is from RNAcentral.
GAUGAACGCUGGCGGCGUGCCUAAUACAUGCAAGUCGAGCGAACAGACGAGGAGCUUGCUCCUCUGACGUUAGCGGCGGACGGGUGAGUAACACGUGGAUAACCUACCUAUAAGACUGGGAUAACUUCGGGAAACCGGAGCUAAUACCGGAUAAUAUAUUGAACCGCAUGGUUCAAUAGUGAAAGACGGUUUUGCUGUCACUUAUAGAUGGAUCCGCGCCGCAUUAGCUAGUUGGUAAGGUAACGGCUUACCAAGGCGACGAUGCGUAGCCGACCUGAGCGAGUGAUCGGCCACACUGGAACUGAGACACGGUCCAGACUCCUACGGGAAGCAGCAGUAGGGAAUCUUCCGCAAUGGGCGAAAGCCUGACGGAGCAACGCCGCGUGAGUGAUGAAGGUCUUCGGAUCGUAAAACUCUGUUAUUAGGGAAGAACAAAUGUGUAAGUAACUAUGCACGUCUUGACGGUACCUAAUCAGAAAGCCACGGCUAACUACGUG